This is a non-coding RNA of Sorex fumeus (smoky shrew), 354 nucleotides long. The record is from the annotation of a RefSeq genome assembly. Lineage: Eukaryota; Metazoa; Chordata; Mammalia; Eulipotyphla; Soricidae.
AUGGCCAGGACUCUGCUGCUCCUCACCUUUCUGGCCUAUUGUACAGGUACUUGGGCCCAGUUUGUGCUGAAUCAGAUUCCCUCUGUGUCUGGGUCUCCAGGGGAGAAGGUCACCAUUUCUUGUACCCGCAGCAGUGGAAACAUUGGGUCUAACUAUGUGCACUGGUACCAGCAGCGGCCUGGGAGUUCCCCCACAAAAUUGAUCUAUGCAGAUAAUCAAAGACCCUCUGGAGUUCCCGAUAGGUUUUCUGGGUCCAUCGAGAGUUCCUCCAAUGCUACCUACCUGACCAUCUCUGGGGUGCAACCUGAGGAUGAGGCUGACUAUUUUUGUCAGUCUAAUUAUGGUAACAAUUAA